RNAcentral lists this ribosomal RNA (253 nucleotides) under uncultured bacterium. RNAcentral's name for it is "partial 16S ribosomal RNA". It matches the Rfam family "Bacterial small subunit ribosomal RNA", at positions 524 to 776 of the family's 1533-position model. The record is from RNAcentral.
UACAGAGGGUGCUAGCGUUGUUCGGAAUCAUUGGGCGUAAAGGGCGUGUAGGCGGUUUGUUAAGUCAUGUGUGAAAUCCCUCGGCUCAACUGGGGAGGGUCACGCGAUACUGAUCGACUCGAAGGCAGGAGAGGGAAGUGGAAUUCCCGGUGUAGUGGUGAAAUGCGUAGAUAUCGGGAGGAACACCAGUGGCGAAGGCGACUUCCUGGCCUGUUCUUGACGCUGAGGCGCGAAAGCUAGGGGAGCAAACGGG